AUAGUGGACGUUACUCGCAGAAUAAGCACCGGCUAACUCUGUGCCAGCAGCCGCGGUAAUACAGAGGGUGCUAGCGUUAAUCGGAUUUACUGGGCGUAAAGCGUGCGUAGGCGGUUUGAUAAGUCGGUUGUGAAAGCCCCGGGCUCAACCUGGGAUGGUCAUUUAGAACUGGCAGACUAGAGUCUUGGAGAGGGGAGUGGAAUUCCAGGUGUAGCGGUGAAAUGCGUAGAGAUCUGGAGGAAUACCGAUGGCGAAGGCAGCCAUCUGGCCUAAUACUGACGCUGAGGUACGAAAGCGUGGGGAGCAAACAGGAUUAGAUACCCUGGUAGUCC
This 332-nucleotide ribosomal RNA is filed under the name Ditylum brightwellii. RNAcentral's name for it is "partial Bacterial small subunit ribosomal RNA". It matches the Rfam family "Bacterial small subunit ribosomal RNA", at positions 465 to 796 of the family's 1533-position model. The record is from RNAcentral. Lineage: Eukaryota; Bacillariophyta; Thalassiosirophyceae; Lithodesmiales; Lithodesmiaceae.